Long non-coding RNA from Lucilia cuprina (Australian sheep blowfly), 641 nucleotides. RefSeq lists it as uncharacterized. The record is from RefSeq and is a predicted model, not a curated record. NCBI's taxonomy places the organism in Eukaryota, Metazoa, Arthropoda, Insecta, Diptera, Calliphoridae. The transcript has 3 exons.
UGAACUAGAACUGAACUAGAACUGAACUAGAACUGAACUAGAACUGAACAAGAACUGAACCAGGACUGAAAUAGAAAAAUAAAUUUUUUGUCUUACAGUUUUUUUUCGAAAUAUUCAUUCGCACCUCGUUACUACACUUAGCGAAAUGAAAAAUUUAAAUUCCCUUUCCUAUACAAAGGGGUUGCAGAAAAAAAUCGAAGAGGAAGGAGUAAGAAAAAGAUGUACAUGUUAAAAAUUUACAGAAAUAUCGCGUGUUUUACCAACUUCAAGAUUGUUUCAAGAGGAUAAACCAUGUUUUCAGGUGCUACUUACUCUAUUCAUAUGGAAAUUUUUUUCGUUAUUGCUGGUGCUGCUGUUUAUUUUAGUUCUUGUCUAUUUCCCAAUACACUACACAUGGAAUAUAUGGAGUACAACUCUAAAAAUAAAAUAUUUGGCGCGAAACGUGUUCUUGUGACUGUCUUAUAUUAUUUUGGUUGCUGCAUUAAAGGAGCGAACAAAAAAAAACUUAAAACUUAACUUGUUAUCACCAGCAAUACCAACCAACCGACGGACCAAUCGUGCUAAAAACAUAAUGAAAUUGCCAAUACAAAAAAAAAACAAAAUAAAUAAAACAUCGGGAGAUUUAUUUACCACAUUCAACA